RNAcentral lists this long non-coding RNA (1271 nucleotides) under Mus spicilegus (steppe mouse). Its description in RNAcentral is "lncRNA (ENSMSIG00000004223.1)". The record is from RNAcentral. Lineage: Eukaryota; Metazoa; Chordata; Mammalia; Rodentia; Muridae.
GCCAUCUCUAGCAUUCAGCAAAGAUAGGUGGAACUUCAUUGUGCUGAAGUUAUGUUUGAGCACCCUCUGCUGGACAAAUCAGGUAAGUACAGGAUUUUUUUUUUUUUUUUUUUUGGUCUUGUGCCUUUUAAAUACACGCUCGGAAGAAGAUUUUUUAUCUCGAAUCUACACUAAAAGAAGUCUCCUCUUUAAACAGAUGCUCUAUGACUACCAACAAUGUACCAGUGGUAUUCGUCUCUUACAGAUCUGGAAGAAAAUGAAAUUUAGGUAAUUGGUCCCAACCAUGGUAAAGCUUAGUGGAAAAGAAAAAAAAGGUAAAAAUCUAUUGUAGACUGAGUGCCCUGAAUCAGAAAACACACAGUCCAGCUGCUCUGAAAUCUACAUCGUUAAGUAUCAUCGUGACACUACAAAGAGAAAACUCCAUAUCUGACCACACAUGAGAAUCUACUGAUGAAUACAACCAUGGAUUUACUAAAAAAAAAAGGUGUAUAAAAUGAUCUUCAAGCUGCUCAUAUAAGAUAGGUAUGAAGUGUAAAUUGAAUUUUGGGUCUGACCCCUUAACAUAUUUUCCUGCGUGAAUACAAAUUCCCCCAAGUCCAAAUAACCCCACACUUGGGCAUUUCAGAUAGGGGAUACCCAAUCUGUAAGCCGUUUACUGCCAUAGAGAAGCUACGAUGCAAGCAGAGCCCACUAACAACUUGGCCAAAACACUUCUAAUAACAGAACUUCACAUGGGUUUCCAUGAGGUCAGAAUGGAAGUAGGAGGAUACAUUGUUUGACGUCAUGGUAUCUGUCCAAUUAAGGUCUGUGUGAGCCUUCCAUCACCGUGACAAAACACAGAACAGAAUCAGCUUUUUAAGGGGGCUUAUUUUGGAUUAUGGUUGCAUAGGAAGAUAUAUAGAUAGGAUCUCCAUGCCAAUAUUUUUAAUGGGUGCUGUCUCUAUUGCUCUGGGCAGGAGAAGGCAGCAGCUGGCAUCAAUGGUGUGGUGAGGAGAGAAUCAAGUUUCCUUCUCCAGUUCAAACAGACGAAAGUGAAGCGACAUAGGCUCAAGGACAGGGUCACUGGGCUAGCGCCACACCAUGGAGCCAAACCCCGAGCCUUCUAAAUUGUGAGCUGGGCAUGGUGGUUCACCCCAGGAAUCGCAGCACUGAGGGAUGAAGGCGAGAGAGUCACUGUGGGUAUGACAUCAGUCUGACCUGAAGUCUGAGACUGUUUUUUUAAGAAGAAAACAUUUUUUUAUGUCAUAUAUUUAAUUAUAUAAAGAUUCUGU